AUCUCUUAGAUAACCCAGGGGAGGGCUGGCCAGGGCCCAGGCAGCCUGGGAGAGCUGCAAGCAGCAACACAGUGGAGCAGGUGACUGCUUUUCUCAGCAGGAAGUUUCCUCUCUCCUGAAAAGAAUUCUUCAUCAAUGAUGGAAUGACACCAUCUCCCUAAGUAGCUCUGUGGAAGGGACACACGUGCAGCUAUUGAGGAUCUUCUGUAGCAGACCCAUGCUAGAAUAACACUUCUCUGAAGUUCCUUGCUGAUAUUAACACAACUCAGUUGCUCUGAGGACAUGAUAUCUCAGCACACAGCAAACAAGACAGUGCUGCAUUUGCUCACUGUGAAGCUAAUCGACUCCUUGUCAACUGGAUCUGAACUAACUUUUGAAGCAAAUCCCUGUCUCUGGGGUUUUUCUCAGAAUGACGAUUCCGGGGCAUGUCUACUCUUCUGCAGCCAUGCACCUGCCUGCUGCUAAUGCUGCUUUUAUCAAGAACAUGUCAUGAGGUAACUCUGGGUAAUUUAAAGAACUCACAGCAGUUCUGACACAAGUCACCACCCACACUAUAAUCUGCACCAAUGCAAUUAGAAUUGAUUGAGCCACUGCAAACAACCAAUGGCAAAACAAAGGUUUCCCAGUAUAUACUUAAUUAAGAUGAUCUAUAAAUAUGGAUUAAGUUAAAAGGUCU
Long non-coding RNA from Apus apus (common swift), 676 nucleotides. RefSeq lists it as uncharacterized. The record is from RefSeq and is a predicted model, not a curated record. The transcript is spliced from 3 exons. Lineage: Eukaryota; Metazoa; Chordata; Aves; Apodiformes; Apodidae.